UGGGGAAUAUUGGACAAUGGGCGCAAGCCUGAUCCAGCCAUGCCGCGUGAGUGAUGAAGGCCCUAGGGUUGUAAAGCUCUUUCACCGGUGAAGAUAAUGACGGUAACCGGAGAAGAAGCCCCGGCUAACUUCGUGCCAGCAGCCGCGGUAAUACGAAGGGGGCUAGCGUUGUUCGGAUUUACUGGGCGUAAAGCGCACGUAGGCGGACUUUUAAGUCAGGGGUGAAAUCCCGGGGCUCAACCCCGGAACUGCCUUUGAUACUGGAAGUCUUGAGUAUGGUAGAGGUGAGUGGAAUUCCGAGUGUAGAGGUGAAAUUCGUAGAUAUUCGGAGGAACACCAGUGGCGAAGGCGGCUCACUGGACCGUUACUGACGCUGAGGUGCGAAAGCGUGGGGAGCAAACAGG
Molecule: ribosomal RNA, 404 nt
Filed under: Pseudomonas sp.
Lineage: Bacteria; Pseudomonadati; Pseudomonadota; Gammaproteobacteria; Pseudomonadales; Pseudomonadaceae
Also listed under: 3 other names
Description: partial 16S ribosomal RNA
Rfam family: Bacterial small subunit ribosomal RNA
Source: RNAcentral